This 433-nucleotide ribosomal RNA is filed under the name uncultured bacterium. Its description in RNAcentral is "partial 16S ribosomal RNA". It matches the Rfam family "Bacterial small subunit ribosomal RNA", at positions 29 to 507 of the family's 1533-position model. The record is from RNAcentral.
AACGAACGCUGGCGGCAUGCCUAACACAUGCAAGUCGAACGAGACCUUCGGGUCUAGUGGCGCACGGGUGCGUAACGCGUGGGAACCUGCCCUUAGGUUCGGAAUAACUCCCCGAAAGGUGUGCUAAUACCGGUUAAUGUCUUCGGACCAAAGAUUUAUCGCCUUUGGAUGGGCCCGCGUUGGAUUAGCUAGUUGGUAGGGUAAAAGCCUACCAAGGCGACGAUCCAUAGCUGGUCUGAGAGGAUGAUCAGCCACACUGGGACUGAGACACGGCCCAGACUCCUACGGGAGGCAGCAGUGGGGAAUAUUGGACAAUGGGCGAAAGCCUGAUCCAGCAAUGCCGCGUGAGUGAUGAAGGCCUUAGGGUUGUAAAGCUCUUUUACCCGGGAUGAUAAUGACAGUACCGGGAGAAUAAGCUCCGGCUAACUACGUG